Molecule: ribosomal RNA, 473 nt
Filed under: uncultured bacterium
Lineage: Bacteria
Description: bacterial SSU rRNA
Rfam family: Bacterial small subunit ribosomal RNA
Source: RNAcentral
CGCUAUCACUCCUACGGGAGGCAGCAGUAGGGAAUCUUCCACAAUGGGCGCAAGCCUGAUGGAGCAACACCGCGUGAGUGAAGAAGGGUUUCGGCUCGUAAAGCUCUGUUGUUAAAGAAGAACACGUAUGAGAGUAACUGUUCAUACGUUGACGGUAUUUAACCAGAAAGUCACGGCUAACUACGUGCCAGCAGCCGCGGUAAUACGUAGGUGGCAAGCGUUAUCCGGAUUUAUUGGGCGUAAAGAGAGUGCAGGCGGUUUUCUAAGUCUGAUGUGAAAGCCUUCGGCUUAACCGGAGAAGUGCAUCGGAAACUGGAUAACUUGAGUGCAGAAGAGGGUAGUGGAACUCCAUGUGUAGCGGUGGAAUGCGUAGAUAUAUGGAAGAACACCAGUGGCGAAGGCGGCUACCUGGUCUGCAACUGACGCUGAGACUCGAAAGCAUAGGUAGCGAACAGGAUUAGAUACCCUGGUAG